CUAAAAAUCUAGCCACACCACACUUCACCCCAUUCAACCUAAAAUAAAAUAUUUUAACACCCUAGUAAAGAAGAUUAAAACCCACCCCCGAGCUAUAAAUAUGUACCGCAAGGAAAAGAUGAAAUAAAAAUGAAACAAAAUUUAAGCACAAAAAAGUAGAGCCUCACCCUCGUACCUUUUGCAUCAUGGUUUAGCUAGUCUAAUUAGGCAAAGAGACCCUUAAGUCCAACCCCCCGAAACUAAGUGAGCUAAUUUAGGGUCGCUUAACGAGCUAACCCGUCUAUGUUGCAAAAUAGUGGGAUAACCCUAAAAUAGAGGUGAUAGACCUAACGAACUUAGUGAUAGCUGGUUUCUUAAGAAAAGGAUUUUAGUCCAACCUAGAACAACACAAAUUUAUACAAAUCUACAUCUUAUUCUAGAGCAAUUCAAAUAAGGUACAGCCUAUUUGAUACAGGAUCCAACCUUGACUAAAGGGUAAUAACUCAUAUGCACUCAUAAGUGGGCCUAAUAGCAGCCACCUUUUAAAAAGCGUCAAAGCUUAAUUACACUCUAACCCAAUUCUAAUACACAUAUAGACCCCUUUAACUGUAUUAAGAAAUUCUAUACUAAUAUAGAACCUUUUAUGCUAAAACUAGUAACAAGAGACCCCCCUCUCUAAAAUGCAAACAUAAGCUGAUAAUGAACCAAUCACCAGCACUUAACAGAACUAAAUUAACAAUAACAACCACACUAGAAAACCCUAUUUAACUCACUGUUAACCUUACACCAGAGCAUUUCUAGAAAGAUUUAAAGAAUAAGAAGGAACUCGGCAAAUAUUAGACCCGCCUGUUUACCAAAAACAUCGCCUCUUGCCCCCCCCCCAUAAGAGGUCCAGCCUGCCCAGUGACUUGUUUAACGGCCGCAGUAUUUUAACUGCGCAAAGGUAGCGUAAUCACUUGUCUUCUAAAUAAAGACUAGUAUGAAAGGCAUCACGAGAACUAAACUGUCUCCUAUUUUUAAUCAGUGAACCUAAUCUCCCCGUGAAGAAGCGGGGAUUAUUAUACAAGACGAGAAGACCCUAUGGAGCUUAAAACAUAAUAACAUCUGCUAAUACCUUAAUUAACAUAACACAUUGAUUAUAUGUUUUUGGUUGGGGUGACCGUGGAGAAUAGCAUAUCCCCCACGAUGAAAAAAAAUCUUUUUAAACAACAAGCCACAACUUUAUGUAUCAAAAAAAUGACAUCCAUUGACCCAAUAUAUUGAUUAACGAACCAAGUUACCCUAGGGAUAACAGCGCAAUCCACUUUAAAAGCUCCUAUCGACAAGUGGGCUUACGACCUCGAUGUUGGAUCAGGGUACCCAAGUGGUGCAGCCGCUACUAAAGGUUCGUUUGUUCAACGAUUAAAACCCUACGUGAUCUGAGUUCAGAUCCGGAGUAAUCCAGGUCAGUUUCUAUCUGUAACAGAGCUUUUUUUAGUACGAAAGGACCAAAACAGCACGGCCAAUACCAACGCAAGCCAUAAAUAACUAUCUCUACCCCCCCCUUAAGAAUUGCUUAAUCUUUUUAUACC
This 1550-nucleotide ribosomal RNA is filed under the name Pristimantis urichi (Lesser Antilles robber frog). RNAcentral describes it as "partial 16S ribosomal RNA". It matches the Rfam family "Bacterial large subunit ribosomal RNA", at positions 380 to 2755 of the family's 2925-position model. The record is from RNAcentral. Lineage: Eukaryota; Metazoa; Chordata; Amphibia; Anura; Strabomantidae.